Molecule: long non-coding RNA, 263 nt
Filed under: Brassica napus (rape)
Lineage: Eukaryota; Viridiplantae; Streptophyta; Magnoliopsida; Brassicales; Brassicaceae
Description: long non-coding RNA (BNAP_LNC014035)
Source: RNAcentral
GGCUAUCGGCUCAGCUCCAUUGGCCUCUCCUAGAGCAUAAACAUGCGGAGUGAUGGCUUGACGCUUGGCCCCAGGCCCUUUAGUCGGGCAAAACCUGGAGAUAUGGCCAAACUGGCCACAAGUGAAGCAAGCUCCUGGUGCGUAUGCUGCAGCUGGUGGUGCCUGCGCUCCCUAUGCUACUGGUGCUGCAUGCGCUACUGGUGCUGCUGAUGCUGCUGGUGCUACUGGUGCUAUUCCCCGCGCACCAAAUGGCCUACUCCGAC